AUGGACUUGGUGCCAAGCUGCGUUUUCCUUCUGAUCAUUCUUCAAGGUGUCCAGUGUGAGGUGCAGCUGGUGGAGUCUAGGGGAGGCUUUGUGCAGCCUGGGGGGUCUCUGAGACUCUCCUGUGCAGCCUCUGGAUUCACCUUCAGUAGUUACCAUAUGAACUGGGUUCGCCAGGCUCCAGGGAAGGGACUGGAGCGAAUUUGUGCUAUUACUGGUAAUGGUGGUAGCACCCACUACGCAGACUCUGUGAAGGGCCGAUUCGCUAUCUCCAGGGACAACGCCAAGAACACGCUGUAUCUGCAAAUGAAUAGCCUGAGAGCUGAGGACACGGCUGUGUAUUACUGUGCAAGAGAGACACACAGUGAGAGGAAGUCUGGAGACACAUCCAAAAACCAGUUCUCCCUGCAGCUGAGCUCCAUGACCACCAAGGACACAGCUGUGUAUUACUGUGCCAGACACAGUGUCCUGUCCCAGAUGCAGCUGCAGGAGUUGGGCCCAGGACUGGUGAAGCCCUCGCAGACCCUCUCCCUCACCUGCAAUGCCUCUUGA
Molecule: non-coding RNA, 549 nt
Organism: Eptesicus fuscus (big brown bat)
Lineage: Eukaryota; Metazoa; Chordata; Mammalia; Chiroptera; Vespertilionidae
Source: the annotation of a RefSeq genome assembly